AGGCUUGCUGAAGAGAUCCACUGGUUUCAUUGGAGAGAUCUUCAUUUGAUUGGAAAUUGCUUCUAGUGUAGGAUAAACUAAAUAUUUGCUGACACUAUUGGAGGAASAAUGCGUUUCAGUUCAAAUGUAAAACUGUUUGUUCUCCUUCUCAUUGUUGGAAUCUUCUUGCUUCUGGGGUAUGUUCACUACAGCUUCUUCAAUGAAAGGCUCAAUGGGGUUUGGUGUGAGGCUUCCAACAGAGAUAUCCCGGUUGAUGAGGACCAGAGGAACACCAGUCUGAGUAAGCCCAUAUUCAGGAGCAGAGUACGGAACAUAUAUCUCUCAAGAAAGGUG
Salvelinus sp. IW2-2015 is the source of this 333-nucleotide non-coding RNA. The record is from RefSeq and is a predicted model, not a curated record. Lineage: Eukaryota; Metazoa; Chordata; Actinopteri; Salmoniformes; Salmonidae.